UACGGGGGGGGUAAGCGUUGUUCGGAAUUACUGGGCGUAAAGGGCUCGUAGGCGGCCAACUAAGUCAGACGUGAAAUCCCUCAGCUUAACUGGGGAACUGCGUCUGAUACUGGAUGGCUUGGAUUCGGGAGAGGGAAGCGGAAUUCCGGGUGUAGCGGUGAAAUGCGUAGAUAUCCGGAGGAACACCGGUGGCGAAGGCGGCUUCCUGGACCGAUACUGACGCUGAGGCGCGAAAGCUAGGGGAGCAAACGGG
This 253-nucleotide ribosomal RNA is filed under the name uncultured bacterium. RNAcentral describes it as "partial 16S ribosomal RNA". It matches the Rfam family "Bacterial small subunit ribosomal RNA", at positions 524 to 776 of the family's 1533-position model. The record is from RNAcentral.